This is a non-coding RNA of Cinara cedri, 342 nucleotides long. The record is from the annotation of a GenBank genome assembly. NCBI's taxonomy places the organism in Eukaryota, Metazoa, Arthropoda, Insecta, Hemiptera, Aphididae.
CCGCGAGUACGCUCGAAAUUAUUAUUCGCGCGUUACGUUCCCCGGGGUCGUUUCGUUCAAACGGGAAAUCCGAGGUUCCCGACGGUUCUUCGUGAAUAUCGUUUGACAAAACGCUGACCGCGAUUCGUGUGCCGAUUGAUCGGGUUUCCAUCGAUUUCCGGAUUACCUUGCGUUCUAUACUAAGUAUAGGAGUAUACGACCUCACCCAACCUUCUACGGUUUUAUCGAAUGUCAUUUUUUUUUUUUUUUUCAUACGGUCAAUCGCUGAGUACCCUACUAAGUCGUGUAAAAUACGGCGAUAAUAAACGGGGCGCAGUUUUUAUUAAGUAUUUAUUUAACGGG